This 96-nucleotide transfer RNA is filed under the name Chloroflexota bacterium. Its description in RNAcentral is "Chloroflexi bacterium (groundwater metagenome) tRNA-Ser". It matches the Rfam family "tRNA". From Rfam's summary of the family: Transfer RNA (tRNA) molecules are approximately 80 nucleotides in length. Their secondary structure includes four short double-helical elements and three loops (D, anti-codon, and T loops). Further hydrogen bonds mediate the characteristic L-shaped molecular structure. tRNAs have two regions of fundamental functional importance: the anti-codon, which is responsible for specific mRNA codon recognition, and the 3' end, to which the tRNAs corresponding amino acid is attached (by aminoacyl-tRNA synthetases). tRNAs cope with the degeneracy of the genetic code in two manners: having more than one tRNA (with a specific anti-codon) for a particular amino acid; and 'wobble' base-pairing, i.e. permitting non-standard base-pairing at the 3rd anti-codon position. The record is from RNAcentral. Lineage: Bacteria; Bacillati; Chloroflexota.
GGAGGGGUCGCAUAGCCCGGUCUAGUGCGGUCGCCUGCUAAGUGACUGUAGGGGUCUUAAAAGCUUCUACCGCGGGUUCAAAUCCCGCCCCCUCCG